CGGGUGAGUAAUGUCUGGGAAACUGCCUGAUGGAGGGGGAUAACUACUGGAAACGGUAGCUAAUACCGCAUAACGUCGCAAGACCAAAGAGGGGGACCUUCGGGCCUCUUGCCAUCGGAUGUGCCCAGAUGGGAUUAGCUAGUAGGUGGGGUAGCGGCUCACCUAGGCGACGAUCCCUAGCUGGUCUGAGAGGAUGACCAGCCACACUGGAACUGAGACACGGUCCAG
This 228-nucleotide ribosomal RNA is filed under the name uncultured bacterium. RNAcentral describes it as "partial 16S ribosomal RNA". It matches the Rfam family "Bacterial small subunit ribosomal RNA", at positions 103 to 334 of the family's 1533-position model. The record is from RNAcentral.